Molecule: ribosomal RNA, 296 nt
Filed under: uncultured vent bacterium
Lineage: Bacteria
Description: partial 16S ribosomal RNA
Rfam family: Bacterial small subunit ribosomal RNA
Source: RNAcentral
UUUAUUAGGGUGUUCACCCCUCGUUUUGAGAGAUUGGGGUAAAACCCCCAAAAAGAGCAACCCCCUUCCCUUUAGUCCACCACCUUGGGUGGGAAAUUCUAAGAGGAUUCCGGGUGCAAACCGGAGAAAAGGGGGGAGAUAAUCAAAUGUUCAUGGGCCCUUUGGCCAGGGGGACACACCCGUUACAAAAGGGGGGACACAGGGGACACAAACCGCGAGGGAGAGCCAAAACCCCAAAAACCAUUCUAAUUCGGAAUGGAAUUCGGAAAUUGAGCGGCCAGAAAUUGGUAUUGGCA